CCUGUUCGAGCGUCAUUAUAACCCUCAAGCUUAGCUUGGUGUUGGGGCCUGCCAACUGGCAGCCCUUAAAAUCAGUGGCGGUGCAUCUGGCUCUAAGCGUAGUAAUUCUUCUCGCUACAGGGUCCUGGUGGAUGCUUGCCAACAACCCCCAACUUUCUAAGUUUGACCUCGGAUCAGGUAGGGAUACCCGCUGAACUUAA
This 200-nucleotide unclassified non-coding RNA is filed under the name soil metagenome. RNAcentral describes it as "partial contains internal transcribed spacer 2 and large subunit ribosomal RNA". The record is from RNAcentral.